This 76-nucleotide transfer RNA is filed under the name Vibrio alginolyticus. Its description in RNAcentral is "tRNA-Gly". It matches the Rfam family "tRNA". Rfam says of the family: Transfer RNA (tRNA) molecules are approximately 80 nucleotides in length. Their secondary structure includes four short double-helical elements and three loops (D, anti-codon, and T loops). Further hydrogen bonds mediate the characteristic L-shaped molecular structure. tRNAs have two regions of fundamental functional importance: the anti-codon, which is responsible for specific mRNA codon recognition, and the 3' end, to which the tRNAs corresponding amino acid is attached (by aminoacyl-tRNA synthetases). tRNAs cope with the degeneracy of the genetic code in two manners: having more than one tRNA (with a specific anti-codon) for a particular amino acid; and 'wobble' base-pairing, i.e. permitting non-standard base-pairing at the 3rd anti-codon position. The record is from RNAcentral. Lineage: Bacteria; Pseudomonadati; Pseudomonadota; Gammaproteobacteria; Vibrionales; Vibrionaceae.
GCGGCACUAGCUCAGUUGGUAGAGCGCAACCUUGCCAAGGUUGAGGUCACGAGUUCGAACCUCGUGUGUCGCUCCA